This 1451-nucleotide ribosomal RNA is filed under the name uncultured Bacteroidota bacterium. Its description in RNAcentral is "bacterial SSU rRNA". It matches the Rfam family "Bacterial small subunit ribosomal RNA". Lineage: Bacteria; Pseudomonadati; Bacteroidota. The record is from RNAcentral.
GAUGAACGCUAGCGGCAGGCCUAACACAUGCAAGUCGAGGGGCAGCGGGGAAGUAGCUUGCUACUUCUGCCGGCGACCGGCGCACGGGUGCGUAACGCGUAUGCAACCUACCUAUAACAGGGGGAUAACACUGAGAAAUUGGUACUAAUACCCCAUAAUAUUCUGAACGGCAUCGUUUAGAGUUGAAAACUCCGGUGGUUAUAGAUGGGCAUGCGUUGUAUUAGUUAGUUGGUGAGGUAACGGCUCACCAAGGCUACGAUACAUAGGGGGACUGAGAGGUUUACCCCCCACACUGGUACUGAGACACGGACCAGACUCCUACGGGAGGCAGCAGUGAGGAAUAUUGGUCAAUGGACGCAAGUCUGAACCAGCCAUGCCGCGUGCAGGAUGACGGCUCUAUGAGUUGUAAACUGCUUUUGUACUAGGGUAAACCCGGAUACGUGUAUCCGGCUGAAAGUAUAGUACGAAUAAAGACCGGCUAACUCCGUGCCAGCAGCCGCGGUAAUACGGAGGGUCUAAGCGUUAUCCGGAUUUAUUGGGUUUAAAGGGUGCGUAGGCGGUUUGGUAAGUUAUAGGUGAAAGCCCGAUGCUCAACAUCGGAACUGCCUGUGAUACUGCCGAGCUAGAGAGUAGAUGCUGUGGGCGGAAUGUAUGGUGUAGCGGUGAAAUGCUUAGAGAUCAUACAGAACACCGAUUGCGAAGGCAGCUCACAAAUCUAUAUCUGACGCUGAGGCACGAAAGCGUGGGGAGCAAACAGGAUUAGAUACCCUGGUAGUCCACGCCGUAAACGAUGAUAACUCGAUGUCGGCGAUAUACAGUCGGUGUCUAAGCGAAAGCGAUAAGUUAUCCACCUGGGGAGUACGUUCGCAAGAAUGAAACUCAAAGGAAUUGACGGGGGCCCGCACAAGCGGAGGAACAUGUGGUUUAAUUCGAUGAUACGCGAGGAACCUUACCCGGGCUCGAACGGCAGAGUAAUAUAUGAGAGAUCGUAUAGUCAGCAAUGAAUUCUGUCGAGGUGCUGCAUGGUUGUCGUCAGCUCGUGCCGUGAGGUGUCGGCUUAAGUGCCAUAACGAGCGCAACCCUUGUCGUUAGUUGCCAUCAGGUAGUGCUGGGGACUCUGACGAGACUGCCACCGUAAGGUGUGAGGAAGGGGGGGAUGACGUCAAAUCAGCACGGCCCUUACGUCCGGGGCGACACACGUGUUACAAUGGGGGGUACAGAGGGCAGCUACCAGGCGACUGGAUGCGAAUCUCGAAAACCCUUCUCAGUUCGGAUCGAAGUCUGCAACUCGACUUCGUGAAGUUGGAUUCGCUAGUAAUCGCGCAUCAGCCAUGGCGCGGUGAAUACGUUCCCGGGCCUUGUACACACCGCCCGUCAAGCCAUGGAAGCUGGGGGUGCCUGAAGUCCGUUACCGCGAGGAUCGGCCUAAGGCAAAACUAGUAACUGGGGCU